Molecule: small RNA, 120 nt
Filed under: Mytilus galloprovincialis (Mediterranean mussel)
Lineage: Eukaryota; Metazoa; Mollusca; Bivalvia; Mytilida; Mytilidae
Source: RNAcentral
UUUGUUUUGGAUUUAUGAGUUUGACUGUCCCUUUGGUAUCUUUCGUCCCUCUUUUAAAUGUAAAACAAGGUAAAAGAGGGACGAAAGAUACCAAAGGGACAAUCAAAAUCAUAAAUCGAA